Molecule: microRNA precursor, 129 nt
Filed under: Choloepus hoffmanni (Hoffmann's two-fingered sloth)
Lineage: Eukaryota; Metazoa; Chordata; Mammalia; Pilosa; Megalonychidae
Description: miRNA (ENSCHOG00000015658.1)
Rfam family: mir-1302 microRNA precursor family (bases 35-86)
Source: RNAcentral
GGUAAAUUUGAUUUUAAAAUAAACAACAAAUAAUUUUUUAUUAUAAGUAUGUCCCAUGCAAGAUUUGGGACAUGCUUAUACUAAAAAAUUACUUGCAAUUUAUCUGAAAUUCACAUUUAACUGAGUGUC